Non-coding RNA from Pseudonaja textilis, 476 nucleotides. The record is from RefSeq and is a predicted model, not a curated record. Lineage: Eukaryota; Metazoa; Chordata; Lepidosauria; Squamata; Elapidae.
GGGCGGGUAUAUGAAUGUGCACUGAGCUAUCAUAGUUUAAAAGUAACAAGCCCUUUUUUUUUUUUUUUACUUUAGAUUGGCCCAUUGACUCAGAAACUGAGCUCACACCUCUUGAAAAUGUGCUUGUCCUUCUGGAGAAGCUCGGAGAGGAAUGCCACAUCAGUGGGGAAAUAAUAGAGGAAUUAAAGAGAAGAAUAAAAGAGGCUGCUGUUAUCACCUGUAUUCAGAACAAAGAUUAUGAACAUGCCAGCAAAAUCUUAAGAGAACACAUGUCACAGGAUCCAAACUGCAAGCAAAUGUCUGUAAUUUUGAAUCACAUCAUCCGAAAGAAAAACCCAUCUCAUCCAGCCAUCUGUAAUUUGUCCUGCAAAGUUUUCCAGCAACGGAUUUUUCUCGUCUUUAAAUCUUACUUGGACGAUUCUGAGCCAUUUCUCUUAGUGGUGAGUGUUGCUUUUCAGGCCAGUUUGGUCUUAAUG